Molecule: ribosomal RNA, 467 nt
Filed under: uncultured bacterium
Lineage: Bacteria
Description: SSU rRNA
Rfam family: Bacterial small subunit ribosomal RNA
Source: RNAcentral
AGGACGAACGCUGGCGGCGUGCUUAACACAUGCAAGUCGAACGGGAUCCUUCGGGGUCUAGUGGCGAACGGGUGAGUAACACGUGAGCAACCUGCCCUUGGCUCUGGGAUAGCCUCCGGAAACGGGGAUUAAUACCGGACAUGACCUUCUCCCGCAUGGGGGAGGGUGGAAAGUUUUUCGGCCAGGGAGGGGCUCGCGGCCUAUCAGCUUGUUGGGGGGUAACGGCCCACCAAGGCGACGACGGGUAGCCGGCCUGAGAGGGCGACCGGCCACACUGGGACUGAGACACGGCCCAGACUCCUACGGGAGGCAGCAGUGGGGAAUAUUGCACAAUGGGGGAAACCCUGAUGCAGCGACGCCGCGUGCGGGAUGAAGGCCUUCGGGUUGUAAACCGCUUUCAGCAGGGACGAAGCGAGAGUGACGGUACCUGCAGAAGAAGCGCCGGCUAACUACGCGCCAGCAGCCGC